RNAcentral lists this transfer RNA (72 nucleotides) under Bos taurus (domestic cattle). It matches the Rfam family "tRNA". From Rfam's summary of the family: Transfer RNA (tRNA) molecules are approximately 80 nucleotides in length. Their secondary structure includes four short double-helical elements and three loops (D, anti-codon, and T loops). The record is from Rfam by way of RNAcentral. RNAcentral also lists the same sequence under 2 other names. Lineage: Eukaryota; Metazoa; Chordata; Mammalia; Artiodactyla; Bovidae.
UCCCUAGUGGCUCAGUUGGUAAAGAAUUUGCCUGCAAUGCAGGAGACCUGGGUUUGAUCCCUAGGUUGGGAA